GACGAACGCUGGCGGCGUGCUUAACACAUGCAAGUCGAACGGAAAGGCCCUGCUUUUGUGGGGUGCUCGAGUGGCGAACGGGUGAGUAACACGUGAGUAACCUGCCCUUGACUUUGGGAUAACUUCAGGAAACUGGGGCUAAUACCGGAUAUGAGCUCCUGCUGCAUGGUGGGGGUUGGAAAGUUUCGGCGGUUGGGGAUGGACUCGCGGCCUAUCAGCUUGUUGGUGGGGUAGUGGCUUACCAAGGCUUUGACGGGUAGCCGGCCUGAGAGGGUGACCGGCCACAUUGGGACUGAGAUACGGCCCAGACUCCUACGGGAGGCAGCAGUGGGGAAUAUUGCACAAUGGGCGGAAGCCUGAUGCAGCAACGCCGCGUGCGGGAUGACGGCCUUCGGGUUGUAAACCGCUUUCGCCUGUGACGAAGCGUGAGUGACGGUAAUGGGUAAAGAAGCACCGGCUAACUACGUG
RNAcentral lists this ribosomal RNA (468 nucleotides) under uncultured bacterium. RNAcentral describes it as "partial 16S ribosomal RNA". It matches the Rfam family "Bacterial small subunit ribosomal RNA", at positions 28 to 507 of the family's 1533-position model. The record is from RNAcentral.